This is a long non-coding RNA of Aedes aegypti (yellow fever mosquito), 360 nucleotides long. RefSeq lists it as uncharacterized. NCBI's taxonomy places the organism in Eukaryota, Metazoa, Arthropoda, Insecta, Diptera, Culicidae. The transcript is spliced from 2 exons. The record is from RefSeq and is a predicted model, not a curated record.
UCGCACACUAGAUUGCAGCAGCCCUGCAGCGCACUCUCCGCCUGAGACUACUAAACAAAAUUCAAUGGUUGCUGUGUGAGUGCCCUGAGUGAGACCGAUCGGAGUAAUUACACUUAUCGUGGUUUUAAGAUACGUGCCAAUGAACGACGCUACAGUUGAUGAUUGAUAAUCGACGGCUGUUGAACACACAGCCCUACACAGAAACUCACAUCGAAGCAAACUGCGACGGCUGAUGAGAUAUCUGACGAGAGGAGCGUUGACUGCCUGCCUGCUUUCACGCCACGAAGAGAUGAUAACAAACGGACGAGCACCGCUUGCUACGAUUAAGAAACAAUGAACCGAUUGUACACUAAUUACAUC